CAAAAGCAUAGUUUUCACUGUUAGAUUUGGAGAGAUGUGGCUAGAUAGCAAUUUUCACUAUAAAAUAAUCUUGAACAGUCCAUUCAAAUGGAUAGAGCCUGUUGGUCUGUCCUGGUUAGUUGUACAUCCUCAGUCACUGCAUGAGUUCCCAGGAGGACCAAGAUGGUGGAGUCAAACAAGGAGUAAUAAAUGGAGAAAUUCGGGAUAUGACUGGAGGGCCAAGAUGGUGGGGUCACACCAGGAGUAAUAAAUGAAGAAAUUCGGGAUAUGACUGGGAGAUUGGGCCAACAGAAUUUACUAAUGGAGUGGAUGUGACAUUUGAGUAAAAGAAAAGAUCAAGGAUAACUCCAAGAUUUUUGACCUGAUCAAGCUGAAGUUUUUUCCUAAGAUGGCAAACACAGAGUGAGGAGCAAGUUUUGUGAGGGGAAGUGAAGGACUUGGUCGGGCCACUCUUAUAGUGUCCUAUUGCGCUGUGAAAAAACCCACCCAAACACUGAGUGACUUACAGCUGCAAUUUAUUAUCUUUCAUCUUUCUGUAAGUUGACUGGGCUUAGCUGGGUGAUUCUGUUUUUCGCUUGCAGUUACAGUGAGACAUCUGGGGCUCACUUAUAUAGCUCUCUGCUGGGAGCUGAGCAAGGACCAUCCAUGGCAGUGCCAACAUAUGUUGCUUGGCCUUCUUACAGAGGGGUGGCUGAGUUCCAAGAGGGAGUGUCCCAAGCGGUUGCAUUCCAAGAAAGUCAGGUGGAAGUUCCAAACAUUCCUAUGGCCUAGCCUAACAAGUGCACAAAGCGACUUCUGCUGUGUUUUAUUGGUCAAGCAAGUCACUAUGGCCAGACCCUAUUCAAAGGAACGAGAGAAAGGCUUCACCACCUGAUGCGAGAAGCAGGGAGGAAAAGAGCUGUUGACAACCAUCUUUGGACAACCUCUAUCACUGAUGUUGUAAAUUUGAAAUACGUCUUGAUAUUCAAGUCUGGAAAUCAAGGAGAGAUUGGGUCUGGGAACUGGGCAGGAACUUUUGUAAUUGUGGGACCAGCCCAAACUGAGCCUACUUCAUUGAUAACAAAGUGUCGAGUUACCUUAUAGGUAUAACAGAGCUAAAAACCUGCAAGUCAUAUAACCUGGGCAUGUGCUAUAGAAAAAGCUUUGACCUCUAACAACACCCAGAACCAACGAUCCCUCCUCUCAAGAACCAAGAGGACCGGCCCAUGACUGGAACAUGAACAAUGGAACGCUUUCAGAAGGAGGAGUCCAUUGGCCUGGAAGAUCUGGGGCCAAAGUCUGCCUCAACAUACCUUACCGUAAAUGACCAAAUUUGAAGUCCUCCAAUCAGACCAAACCAAUGUUCCCAAAUCCUUUCCCUUGCCCUUCAGGCCCAUAAAAUUACCCCAGACCCCAAAUCAAGGAGACAACUUUGAACCCAACCCCUGUCUUUUUGCUGGCAGGUUUUGCAAUAAAGC
This 1457-nucleotide long non-coding RNA is filed under the name Piliocolobus tephrosceles (Ugandan red Colobus). RNAcentral describes it as "lncRNA (ENSPTEG00000036777.1)". The record is from RNAcentral. Lineage: Eukaryota; Metazoa; Chordata; Mammalia; Primates; Cercopithecidae.